GUGUUGCUUCAGCAGCACACAUACAAAAAUUGGAACCAUACAGAGAAGAUUAGCAUGGCCCCUAUGAGAAGAUGACACACAAGUGUGUGAAGCUUUCCAUAUGAAA
Cricetulus griseus (Chinese hamster) is the source of this 106-nucleotide small nuclear RNA. The record is from Ensembl. NCBI's taxonomy places the organism in Eukaryota, Metazoa, Chordata, Mammalia, Rodentia, Cricetidae.